AUUGAACGCUGGCGGCAGGCCUAACACAUGCAAGUCGAGCGGAUGAAGGGAGCUUGCUCCUGGAUUCAGCGGCGGACGGGUGAGUAAUGCCUAGGAAUCUGCCUGGUAGUGGGGGAUAACGUCCGGAAACGGGCGCUAAUACCGCAUACGUCCUGAGGGAGAAAGUGGGGGAUCUUCGGACCUCACGCUAUCAGAUGAGCCUAGGUCGGAUUAGCUAGUUGGUGGGGUAAAGGCCUACCAAGGCGACGAUCCGUAACUGGUCUGAGAGGAUGAUCCGUCACACUGGAACUGAGACACGGUCCAGACUCCUACGGGAGGCCGCAGUGGGGAAUAUUGGACGAUGGGCCAAAGCCUGAUCCAGCCAUGCCGCGUGUGUGAAGAAGGUCUUCUGAUUGUAAAGCACUUUAAGUUGGGAGGAAGGGCAGUAAGUUAAUACCUUGCUGUUUUGACGUUACCAACAGAAUAAGCACCGGCUAACUUCGUG
Molecule: ribosomal RNA, 484 nt
Filed under: uncultured bacterium
Lineage: Bacteria
Description: partial 16S ribosomal RNA
Rfam family: Bacterial small subunit ribosomal RNA
Source: RNAcentral